Molecule: non-coding RNA, 977 nt
Organism: Meleagris gallopavo (turkey)
Lineage: Eukaryota; Metazoa; Chordata; Aves; Galliformes; Phasianidae
Source: RefSeq, a predicted model, not a curated record
AAGAUGUUUAUGGUUAAAACUUAACAGUUUGGAUGCUUUGUCUCCUUAGGAGCGACGUGACGGACGCUGAGUUCUGCUGCUCCAUGGCUUGGAUCAGUUCAUCCACAGCGAACAAGUUAAGUGUAUUCAGAGACAGGGAGCUCUUCACUUUGCUUUGUCCCCAUCAUUUUUCUCUAAUUGCAGGACGUGGAGCUCAGCCCAAAGGAAAAGGCUCUUCUUGCUUUGGGUUGGUUUUGGCUACGUGGCUUUUGAGUGUAGGGCAGAACACAUUUCCUGGCUGAUAUUCAUACUAAAGGUUCAUCCUUGGAAUUUGGAAGCCAUUAAGGACUGGUUCCAGUGCUGGCCCUUUUGUAACCAGCACGAAAAUAUCUGUGGAAUGAAAAAAACGAACACCACAGCGUUCCCUGAAGUCCAGUGUGAUUGUCAGGUGCCAUUUAUCUGCCAUCUGAAUAACUGCAGGAGUAUUUUGUGUGCAACAGCUGGUCCCGAUGGAGGCUUUGACCUUCGAGGCAGUCUGUGCUACUGUACCACCGUGUGCCAUCCUCUGAGCCCCCAGCAGCUGGGAGAGGCAGCAAAUAUGUUCUGCAUGGCAACAGAGGAGAGUUUCAUUGCUUCGUCCCCCCCCAACCCCCAGGCCACCCUUGGAGGUGUUUAAGGCAGAAAUUACUGCCAUCAGUUCACAAACAUCCCCAGGAAUGAAGAAGUCACAGCUCAGGUGGGCCCAACGCUGCCACGCUGUGUGCAGCUGAGCAGAUUUUAUUGUUUAUUGUUUGCUUGGAUUCCACUAAGAAAAGCUUUGCUGUGUUCUGUUGUGCUGAUACAGCUUUACUUUCCUGCUUCUAUUGCAGGAAUGCAGAACCACAGCACCUUCUUGCUGCGGAUAAAGGUUGCUGACAUAAUAAAAAGUUGUUUACAAGUAUGCAAAAUCGGUAACGUUUCAAAACGUGGAUGUUAAUUACACGUAACUGAGAGCAGAA